RNAcentral lists this ribosomal RNA (427 nucleotides) under uncultured Acidobacteriota bacterium. RNAcentral describes it as "bacterial SSU rRNA". It matches the Rfam family "Bacterial small subunit ribosomal RNA", at positions 958 to 1385 of the family's 1533-position model. Lineage: Bacteria; Pseudomonadati; Acidobacteriota. The record is from RNAcentral.
AACGCGAAGAACCUUACCUGGGCUUGAACCGCUACUGACCAAGGGUAGAAAUAUCCUCUUCCCGCAAGGGACAGUAGUAGAGGUGCUGCAUGGCUGUCGUCAGCUCGUGCCGUGAGGUGUUGGGUUAAGUCCCGCAACGAGCGCAACCCUUACUCGUAGUUGCUACCCGCAAGGGAGAACUCUACGAGGACUGCUCCGGAUAACGGAGAGGAAGGUGGGGAUGACGUCAAGUCAGCACGGCCUUUAUGUCCAGGGCUACACACGUGUUACAAUGCAUGGUACAGACUGUUGCGAACCCGCGAGGGGGAGCUAAUCGGACAAAACCAUGCCCAGUUCGGAUUGCAGUCUGCAACUCGGCUGCAUGAAGCUGGAAUCGCUAGUAAUGGCGUAUCAGAUCGACGCCGUGAAUACGUUCCCGGGCCUUGUA